UACGGGGGGGGUAAGCGUUGUUCGGAAUUACUGGGCGUAAAGGGCUCGUAGGCGGCCAACUAAGUCAUACGUGAAAUCCCUCAGCUUAACUGGGGAACUGCGUGUGAUACUGGAUGGCUUGGAUUUGGGAGAGGGAUGCGGAAUUCCAGGUGUAGCGGUGAAAUGCGUAGAUAUCGGGAGGAACACCAGUGGCGAAGGCGGUCGUCUGGGCAGAUACUGACGCUGAGGUGCGAAAGCGUGGGGAGCAAACCGG
This 253-nucleotide ribosomal RNA is filed under the name uncultured bacterium. Its description in RNAcentral is "partial 16S ribosomal RNA". It matches the Rfam family "Bacterial small subunit ribosomal RNA", at positions 524 to 776 of the family's 1533-position model. The record is from RNAcentral.